RNAcentral lists this ribosomal RNA (301 nucleotides) under uncultured bacterium. RNAcentral's name for it is "partial 16S ribosomal RNA". It matches the Rfam family "Bacterial small subunit ribosomal RNA", at positions 509 to 807 of the family's 1533-position model. The record is from RNAcentral.
CAGCCGCCGCGGGAAUACGAAGGGUGCAAGCGUUAAUCGGAAUUACUGGGCGUAAAGCAUGCGUAGGCGGUGAGUUAAGUCUGCUGUGAAAUCCCCGGGCUCAACCUGGGAAUGGCAGUGGAUACUGGCUCGCUAGAGUGUGUCAGAGGAUGGUGGAAUUCCCGGUGUAGCGGUGAAAUGCGUAGAGAUCGGGAGGAACAUCAGUGGCGAAGGCGGCCAUCUGGGACAACACUGACGCUGAGGCACGAAAGCGUGGGGAGCAAACAGGAUUAGAUACCCCGGUAGUCCCUGUCUCUUAUAC